Molecule: long non-coding RNA, 209 nt
Filed under: Brachypodium distachyon (stiff brome)
Lineage: Eukaryota; Viridiplantae; Streptophyta; Magnoliopsida; Poales; Poaceae
Description: long non-coding RNA (BDIS_LNC002003)
Source: RNAcentral
GAGACUGUCAGCAAGGCUUAAAGAGACCAGAGUUGGAUUCGCUCCAGGGGGGAGGAACCCUAACAACAGUGGAUCUGAAGCCAUGUGAAGCUGUCUCGUCUGCUUGCAUCACUGGGCAAAAAGAGUACCAAUGGGAACUGAUGCGCUGCACCCGGACCUCCAAAUCUUUCAUGGUUUGUCCUCCUCCAACACAAGCUAGCCAAUUGGCC